Molecule: non-coding RNA, 2473 nt
Organism: Chrysemys picta bellii (western painted turtle)
Lineage: Eukaryota; Metazoa; Chordata; Testudines; Emydidae
Source: RefSeq, a predicted model, not a curated record
UGAAAGCUCCAUUGGGAAAGUUUCCCUUUCCUCCUCCUUGCUUCACAUCUAUACCUUGUAUUAUAUACUAUUCCACUGCAACUUGAUCGCAAUUCAACAUUAAUCAGGGCAGUAUACAGAAACUGGAAGAGCUAUUCACCUCUGCAACAGAUUUGAAAGUUACAGCUAAGUUCAGAUAAGCAUGUUCACUUUCCAGGACUUGUCUGAAACCUCCAGAACUUUUGAUCCUGCGUACCAAGAUUUUCCAACCCCAUGGUGCACUCUUAGUGCACAAAACUGCAAGGAAGCUCAGUAAAAUUAAACAUUUUAAAAGACAAUUUAGUAGGAUGUAGUGAAGGGACCAUUGUUCAUAUACAUCUUCAGUAUUUUACUGUAAUAUCCCAGGCAAUACAGCUCAUAAAGUGAUACCACAGUAUUUUGGACUAUUGCAUCCUUUUAUUUUGACAUGAUGUGUCCUGCUGAGACCUAUCUGCUAUAAUGAAGAAAGGAGCAAGCCAUCUGGCCACCUUCUGACUGAAGAGGACCUUUGGUGGGAGAGGGAAGUGGGCCAACUUGCAAUCCUUGAACAGAAGGCCUGCUACUGGAGGUUUCAGCAAAACAAACCAAAAGAACGACGAGUGUCAGAAUAGAAAAUGGAAGAAUAAAGUCAGCUUUGAAGUCUACCUGUACAUCUGCAGUGCAGUGUCAACUCUGAGCUCAUUUUGAAAUCAAAGAAUGAUCACACAAAAUUCCAAGCAAUCAGACACAGAUUGCUACAUGGAGACUUCACAUCAAGUUCUUUCUUUGUAGCAAGGAAACAAAGGGAAAAUCCAUCUUCAGUCAAAGAAUGGUGUACAGGGAAACCAGAUAUCAAAUGCUUCCUGUUUCUGAGAAGAGAUGUAAUAUUCUGUGAAUGACUGACCCAACUUUGACCUUGAUCAUGGGAAGAGAUUUGUUUUGGUAGGCUGCUGUAGCCAGCUACCUGAAGAGAGGUUUGGGAAUCUUACCAGAGGGAGUUCUCAACACUGCACAUUUGUUUGGGUGGAGAUACUGUUGCAGAUAGGAUAUUGCCAUGUAUUUAGAUUGCAUGAUUAAUUAUUUAUUCUGAUUUUAAUGUAUUUAAUACAUAAGUAUUUAUGGCUUCUUGAACAUAAGGUGAAAUCCUACAAAUAGUACUUUCACUGAUGGGAUUUCUAUAAUAAACACAAAACCUGCAUUAGAACAACAGUAAGGAUUUUAAUUAUACACAACCCAAGAAAUUCAAAUUUAAGAUUUCUCACUCCAUAUAUACAUACAUACUGUUGACCCUAGGUAAUUCGGAGGUCUGAGAAAAAUGUACCAUGUGUACUGUAUUGUCUGGUAUAGAGGCAUGAGUAAAGCACAAUGAGAAAUGUUAGUUGGAUUUCCAGGCAUUUAACAAGACAUUUACAUUAUUUUAGUUAGUUCUUUGUGUGCAACUUCCUGUUUUUGAUUUUAUUUUAAAAUCAGGAGUGCAAUAAAAGAAAGGAGGAAGAUGGACAAAAUGGAAUUUAGCACAGAAAUGGAAUGGAAGUUAUGGAAGCGGGUAUUUUGGUUUAUUUUUCACUUCAAACAUCUACUGUAUAGUAAUAGAACUAAUUGUCAAACUGCCAAUGUUCCAAACCACUGUGACAGUGAUUAAUUCGUGUUUGAAAUUUUCAAUCAAACUCUUCUUCAGAUCUGUAGUUGUUUGUUGCUAGGAGGUCUGACAAUAAAGUAUACAUUUAAAGUGUGGAACAAGCACAUGAUCCUGCAUCUGUUUUGCAUCCAAACCUACCACUGUCUUCAAAGAGAGUUAUAUAGGUGUACAAAGAGAUCAGACCCAGACCCCAAGAGAGAAAGCAGAAUAUUGGACAGUAUAUUAACAACAUUCUGCAACAUAAAUGGGUACCAAAUGUAAUCUUCACUCCCUUCAUUAAGUAGUAGUAGAUAAUGGGCCCUAGUCAAAGUUCAUACAUCCUUCUUCUCUAUAUAUUCCUAUGAUGUAUAUGUGUACAAUUCACACGAUUCCAGAUGGUAAUCUCAUUGACACAUACUUGAGUGCAUGCAGUUGGUCACCUUCUUUGCACAUUCUUUACUUUAUGUAUAUGCACAAAUCCCAGAUUUACACAUGCAAUGGCCUAUAUAGGUAUCUCUUGGAAAGCUGUGUACACAUGUAAAUAGGGUGUGCAAACACUAGGCCUGCAAUUGAACAUGCACAGAUGGGAAUGUGACUGAUUCUUGAAGAGCAGGCCUUAAAAGCUAUUUCUGGGGGCAAAACUGCAGUUAAGGUUGCAAAGUGGUUUCUAGUAGAAUCCCUUGAUUAACACAUUAGAAUCUGUAUCUGUCUCUCUCUCUCCAGCAUUUGUGAAUGAUUUUCCACAUUGCAAGAAGUGUAAAUUUUGUAACUGAUUCAACAAAUGAAAUGAAUUUCACAACUCUGACUGUUGCUAGCCAGCUGAUGAAAACAAAAAUAAACUCAAAUUUAUCUUUGAAA